GUGUUUGUGGGGAAGUUUAUCCACUCCUGAUUUGCCAGUGAUUGGCUAUGACUUGCCUCUUCUUUUCCAACCAAUGUUGAUGUCAUGAUUACGGGUGGAGCAACAUCACCUGUUUUCUACAAUUUGAGGCGAAGACACCGCCACCCUUGAUUUGCUGUGAUUGACUAUGACUUGGCUCUUCUUUUCCAAGCAAUGUUGAUGCUUGAAAGGUUUAUGCUCUGUCCUGGAUAGUGAUGGUUGGUAGCUGACAUGGUUAUCCUUAAGGACGGUAUUCGGUGAUUAAAAAAAGUUUGUUCUUUUUGCUUGUGCUUGAUAAUGAUCUUAUUAAUCUUUCUGGCUCGAGUAUCAUGGUUCAAUCAUCAUGGCAAUGACUAAUUCAAUUCAAUACUAUACUCAAAAUAUUAGAUUACAUGUAAUGUAUGAGAUAUAAAAAAUAAAGUUACUUUAUGUCUUUCUGCAUUUGUGGAGUUAGAUUAGUUUCUCUGAUGAUUUUUAUUGAUACAGUGAACUUACAACCACUUCUUUCUGAUUGGUGUGGUGUUAUAUAUGUUCA
Glycine soja is the source of this 553-nucleotide long non-coding RNA. RefSeq lists it as uncharacterized. The record is from RefSeq and is a predicted model, not a curated record. The transcript has 3 exons. NCBI's taxonomy places the organism in Eukaryota, Viridiplantae, Streptophyta, Magnoliopsida, Fabales, Fabaceae.